RNAcentral lists this ribosomal RNA (722 nucleotides) under uncultured Alphaproteobacteria bacterium. Its description in RNAcentral is "bacterial SSU rRNA". It matches the Rfam family "Bacterial small subunit ribosomal RNA", at positions 55 to 823 of the family's 1533-position model. The record is from RNAcentral. Lineage: Bacteria; Pseudomonadati; Pseudomonadota; Alphaproteobacteria.
AUGCAAGUCGAACGGACCCUUCGGGGUUAGUGGCGGACGGGUGAGUAACACGUGGGAACGUGCCUUUAGGUUCGGAAUAGCUCCUGGAAACGGGUGGUAAUGCCGAAUGUGCCCUUCGGGGGAAAGAUUUAUCGCCUUUAGAGCGGCCCGCGUCUGAUUAGCUAGUUGGUGGGGUAAUGGCCCACCAAGGCUACGAUCAGUAGCUGGUCUGAGAGGAUGACCAGCCACAUUGGGACUGAGACACGGCCCAAACUCCUACGGGAGGCAGCAGUGGGGAAUCUUGCGCAAUGGGCGAAAGCCUGACGCAGCCAUGCCGCGUGUAUGAUGAAGGUCUUAGGAUUGUAAAAUACUUUCACCGGUGAAGAUAAUGACUGUAGCCGGAGAAGAAGCCCCGGCUAACUUCGUGCCAGCAGCCGCGGUAAUACGAAGGGGGCUAGCGUUGCUCGGAAUUACUGGGCGUAAAGGGAGCGUAGGCGGACGUUUAAGUCAGAGGUGAAAUCCCGGAGCUUAACUUCGGAACUGCCUUUGAUACUGGGUGUCUUGAGUGUGAGAGAGGUAUGUGGAACUCCGAGUGUAGAGGUGAAAUUCGUAGAUAUUCGGAAGAACACCAGUGGCGAAGGCGACAUACUGGCUCAUUACUGACGCUGAGGCUCGAAAGCGUGGGGAGCAAACAGGAUUAGAUACCCUGGUAGUCCACGCCGUAAACGAUGAUUGCUAGUUGU